GACGAACGCUGGCGGCGUGCUUAACACAUGCAAGUCGAACGGUAAGGCUCCAGCUUGCUGGGGUACACGAGUGGCGAACGGGUGAGUAACACGUGGGUGACCUGCCCUGCACUUCGGGAUAAGCCUGGGAAACUGGGUCUAAUACCGGAUAGGACCGCACCGUGAGGGUGUGGUGGAAAGUUUUUUCGGCGUGGGAUGGGCCCGCGGCCUAUCAGCUUGUUGGUGGGGUAAUGGCCUACCAAGGCGGCGACGGGUAGCCGGCCUGAGAGGGUGGACGGCCACAUUGGGACUGAGACACGGCCCAGACUCCUACGGGAGGCAGCAGUGGGGAAUAUUGCACAAUGGGCGGAGGCCUGAUGCAGCGACGCCGCGUGGGGGAUGACGGCCUUCGGGUUGCAAACUCCUUUCACCAUCGACGAAGGGUUUCUGACGGUAGAUGGAGAAGAAGCACCGGCUAACUACGUGCCAGCAGCCGCGGUAAUACGUAGGGUGCGAGCGUUGUCCGGAAUUACUGGGCGUAAAGAGCUCGUANGUGGUUUGUCGCGUCGUCUGUGAAAUUCCGGGGCUUAACUCCGGGCGUGCAGGCGAUACGGGCAUAACUUGAGUACUGUAGGGGAGACUGGAAUUCCUGGUGUAGCGGUGAAAUGCGCAGAUAUCAGGAGGAACACCGGUGGCGAAGACGGGUCUCUGGGCAGUAACUGACGCUGAGGAGCGAAAGCAUGGGGAGCGAACAGGAUUAGAUACCCUGGUAGUCCAUGCCGUAAACGGUGGGCGCUAGGUGUGGGUUUCCUUCCACGGGAUCCGUGCCGUAGCUAACGCAUUAAGCGCCCCGCCUGGGGAGUACGGCCGCAAGGCUAAAACUCAAAGGAAUUGACGGGGGCCCGCACAAGCGGCGGAGCAUGUGGAUUAAUUCGAUGCAACGCGAAGAACCUUACCUGGGCUUGACAUAUACAGGAUCGCGCCAGAGAUGGUGUUUCCCUUGUGGCUUGUAUACAGGUGGUGCAUGGUUGUCGUCAGCUCGUGUCAUGAGAUGUUGGGUUAAGUCCCGCAACGAGCGCAACCCUUGUCUUAUGUUGCCAGCACGUUGUGGUGGGGACUCGUAAGAAACUGCCGGGGUUAACUCGGAGGAAGGUGGGGAUGACGUCAAAUCAUCAUGCCCCUUAUGUCCAGGGCUUCACACAUGCUACAAUGGUCGGUACAGUGGGUUGCCAGUCCGUGAGGGCGAGCUAAUCCCGCAAAGCCGGUCUCAGUUCGGAUCGGGGUCUGCAACUCGACCCCGUGAAGUCGGAGUCGCUAGUAAUCGCAGAUCAGCAACGCUGCGGUGAAUACGUUCCCGGGCCU
RNAcentral lists this ribosomal RNA (1341 nucleotides) under uncultured bacterium. RNAcentral describes it as "partial 16S ribosomal RNA". It matches the Rfam family "Bacterial small subunit ribosomal RNA", at positions 28 to 1381 of the family's 1533-position model. The record is from RNAcentral.